This 827-nucleotide long non-coding RNA is filed under the name Cyanistes caeruleus (blue tit). RNAcentral describes it as "lncRNA (ENSCCEG00000003135.1)". The record is from RNAcentral. Lineage: Eukaryota; Metazoa; Chordata; Aves; Passeriformes; Paridae.
CCCUGGGGAAGAUGGUGCCCGUGGACGAGUUCCUGCCCCUCAUGUUCGACAGACACCCCAGCCCCGAGUACUCCCGCUACUUUUCCCGGCGGGAUCUGGAGGCGUUUUCGGCGGAGCCGCUGCUGCUGUUCCCCACUCACUACACGGGGGAGCCCGGCUACGUCAGCGACACCGAGACGGCCCCGGCGCCGCCGCGCGACGAGCUCUGACCCCAAUAAAACUCACACUUGGAUUUUUAAACGGCUUUUUGCUGGUUUUAUUUUCGGGAUUUUUUUUGGGAUUUUUGGGGAUUUUUUAUGGGGUUUUUUGGGAUUUUUUUUGGAUUUUUUGGGGAUUUUUUUAUGGGUUAUUUUGGGGUUUUUUGGGGAUUUUUUUCUUGGGUUUUUGGGGAUUUUUUCUGGGUUUUAUUGGGAUUUUUUCCAGGGUUUUUUGGGAUUUUUUCUGGGUUUUAUUGGGAUUUUUUCUGGCUUUUAUUGGGAUUUUUUCUGGGUUUUAUUGGGAUUUUUUCUGGGUUUUUUGGGAUUUCUUUUUUGAUUUUUUGGGGGAUUUUUUCUUGGGUUUUUUAGGAUUUUUUUCUGGGUUUUUUGGGAUUUUUUCUGGGUUAUUUUGGGAUUUUUUCUGGCUUUUAUUGGGAUUUUUUCCAGGGUUUUUUGGGGGAUUUUUUUGGGAUCUUUUGGGUAAAUUUUUGGGGUUAUUUUGGGGAUUUUCUUUGGAUAUUUUGGGAAUAUUUUGGGGAUAAUUUGGGAUAUUUUGGGGAUAUUUUGGGACAUUUUGGGGCUCAGAGCUCGUCGUGCUCCUCGUGCCCAGGUGUGUCGGGCUCCCUGCAG